CCUACGGGUGGCAGCAGUGAGGAAUAUUGGUCAAUGGCCGGAAGGCUGAACCAGCCAAGCCGCGUGAGGGAUUAAGGCGCAGAGCGUCGCAGACCUCUUUUGCCGGGGAACAAGAUGCUGCACUUGUCCGGUCCUGAGGGGUACCUGAGAAAAAGCAUUCGCUAACCCCGUGCCAGCAGGCGCGGUAAUUCGGAGGAUGCGGACGUUUUUCGGAUUCAUUGGGGUUAAAGGGUGCGUAGGCGGGACUUUAAGGCGGCGGUAAAAUCGCGGGGCUCAACCCCGCAGAGCCGUCGGAACUGGGGGUCUUGAGUGCGCGAGAGGCAUGCGGAAUGCGCGGUGUAGCGGUGAAAUGCAUAGAUAUCGCGCAGAACCCCGAUUGCGAAGGCAGCGUGCCGUGCCGCAACUGACGCUGAGGCACGAAAGCGCGGGGAUCGAACAGGAUUAGAUACCCGAGUAGUC
RNAcentral lists this ribosomal RNA (459 nucleotides) under uncultured bacterium. Its description in RNAcentral is "partial 16S ribosomal RNA". It matches the Rfam family "Bacterial small subunit ribosomal RNA", at positions 338 to 795 of the family's 1533-position model. The record is from RNAcentral.